RNAcentral lists this long non-coding RNA (15324 nucleotides) under Homo sapiens (human). RNAcentral describes it as "non-protein coding lnc-EGFR-4:4". The record is from RNAcentral. Lineage: Eukaryota; Metazoa; Chordata; Mammalia; Primates; Hominidae.
GCAUUGCGGAGCUCGCUAGUUGGGGCGUUGGCCUUCCUUAGGAGUGUGAGUCUAGCGUUAUCCCUUUUUUCCGGCUGGAUCCCGGGUUACCCCACCAGCCCGACCUCAACCCACUCACGUCCACAGCACGAGCCCCAGCGGCCUUGCGCGGUGCUUGCUCUCUAGUAGCGGCUGACUAGGUUAGUUCACUGAUUGAGAAGCGUUUUGCAGGACUCGUGCCCUGAGACCUUUCUGGUUGCAGAGAGUGGCCAUGGAGGCCUCCUGUCUCCGAACUGCCUCCUCACCAGCCUCCUCAUCUGGCUUCUGCAUGCAACCGCCACCUCUCGAUGUAUUUAUCUUUCAGUGGCAUAUUUGUAUAAUUUAAAUUUAGUAGAUCCUUUAAAAAAUGUAUGUUAUAAAAGUUUAAAACUCAAAACUGAAGAGAAUAUAAUCUUGUCAUGGCUUUUCUUGCACAUUCAGAGCAAGCGGCUCUGCCUUCCACCUUGCUCUCUGCUGUGUGGCCAGGCUUCUCUCAGUGCCCUUGGUACAUUUCCGGAGUCCCCUGUGCCCGGUAGAACUCUCGCCUGUAAGCUGUGCUUUGCUUGUGUUCACUUCAAUGUAGACAGAUGGCUAGGCCUCGUUCCAGCCGCUCCUUUGCAAAGGAUAUGGAUUCUGUUUUCUCCUCAGAAGUGUGACCCAGGGCCCUAUCCAGGGCACAGUGACAGUGGGGACAACCCCGGGUCUCAGGCUCUUCCUCCAGGGCCCCAGCUAGCGUCCCUCUGGCCCGUGCUCUGCAUCUUGCUGGAGAGGUCUCUGCUCUUGGAUUGUGUUUUGACUUUGCCUGAGCUUCCAGCUCAACCCCCUCAGACAACAUUUCUCCAAAGCAGGAACGAUUUGUGGAAAUUCUCAACAUUUUUUUCACUCUGUUUUGGGGGCCUAGGGUCCAUGAUAGGGAGCUAUGCCAAGUCAUGGCAGAGUGUUCUUUUUCUGUUUUCUUAUUUCAUUAUGGUAGCAUGAAGUUGUACACGUUUCUGUAUUGGGUUCUUGCUCUUGCUCUUUUUGCUGCUGUCAAUAAUUAUUGUUGAUUACAUCAGAUGUUGGAGGAGGUGAAUUCUGGGUGCCUGUUUUACUUCACAGCCAUUGCUGUUUUAAUAAGAAGAUGGGGCUGGCUAACACGGUGAAACCCCAUCUCUACUAAAAAAUACAAAAAAUUAGCUGGGCAUGGUGGCGGGUGCCUGUAGUCCCAGCUACUCAGGAGGCUGAGGCAGGAGAAUGGUGUGAACCCGGGAGGCGGAGUUUGCAGUGAGCUGAGAUGGCGCCACUGCACUCCAGCCUGGGCUACAGAGCGAGACUCCAUCUCAAACAAAAACAAACAAAAAAAAUAAAAAGAUGGGGAAUUAAAAUAUCAUGCCCUGCCAUCUUGUGAUCCUUUUAACUCAGGAGUCCUUUUUAACUGGAAAACACAGAGAUGUCUCUACUAUUUCAAGAAGCUAUUAGAUAUGUCCUGUUUUUCUAUGCCAUUCACUUCCCCUGAAUUGCUCUGAGACCUACCCUGUGCUCGUUGGUGCAGUGGGAGUGAUCUAACCUUUAAGGGGAUAGCUGUUCCAGCCUACCGAGAUGACCCCACUAAACACGGGGUAAUGCUAGCCGGGAGAGAAACCAAAACAGUAGAAAAAUGAAGGAGCCAGCAGGUUUAUUGUAAAGAGUUUAAUUGCCUACUGUUACAGACAGAAAUGGAAGCAAGUGAGGAAAAUACAUAUAGAUGCUUUUGAACCAAGUUUCCUAACUCCCAGGACAGACAUUUUUUCCCCCAUUUUAUCUGUAUGCUUUUCUGCCAUCCCUUACUGGCCCCUGGAUGGUUACUUUCUGUUUUUAGAAAUGGGAAAUUAAUACCUAGUCCUCAGGUUAGUUCAGUUCAGUCUAAGAAUUGAGUAUCAAUGAAGGACAUAAUUUAUUCACUGUACAAAAGACCACCCAGCUACAAUGCCCAGCUUCAUCAGUUAUAACUGGGAUUAAUUAAGUGGAUUUUCAUAUCUCCUCCCUUUUUAUUGUUCAUAAAGCUUCCCACCUAAGACUGAUAGUGCUGUCAACAGCUCUGUUGAGGCCAGGCACAGUGGCUCAGUUAUCCCUGUUAUCUCAGUGCUGUGGGAGGCCGAGGCAGGAGGAUCAAUUGAGGCCAGGAGUUUGAGACCAGCCUGGGCAACAUAGUGAGACCCUGUCUCUACAAAUAAAAAUAAAACCUAGCAGGGCAUGGUGACAUGCUCCUGUGUCCUAGCUACUGAGGAGGUUGAAGUGGGAGGAUCUCUCGGGCCCAGGAGUUGAAGGCUAUAGUGAACUAUGAUUCUAGCCUGGGUGACAGAGCAAGGCCCUGUCUCUCUGUUAAAAAACAAAAACAAACAGAAAACAGCUCUGUCCAAGGGGUUGGGAGAUCCUCGAUGAAGGAAGAGAAGAUAAUUGGUUGGGUCUGGAGUAUACAAGGACUUCAGGUUCUAGCCAUGGCGGAGAAACUGGAGCAAGACCUGCACUCCCAAUACCAAAAAUGAGAAAACUGGACAAAAUAUGGGAAACAACUCUUUCAGACACUGGGAAACAGGAAAUACAAGACUAUGAUUCAUAAGGGGAGGGUAAAAAAAUAAAGUGAGUCUACCCCCUCAGAAUUCUGCUUGAAAGGCAGUUUUCAAACCAAAGCCACAAGGUAAGGGGAAAAGAUUAUAUGCAGAGAAUGGUAAUUAUUACUGACCAGGAAGAUAGAGAUGGGUGGAAUUUCUAGGGCAUACUAGCAUAGAGGAGGGUGCUAAAUGGAAAAAGAGCUCUAGAAAUCUGCAAAGAGCUCCCAUUGCAUCUAUUGAGGAAAACCAAUAGUGCCUAUGUAAGAUGCAACACCAUGAGGCUGGGCUAACAAUGACCAGGAGCUGUAAGAUGAACAAUUCGCAGAGGACACAAGGGCUGGGAGACUAUGAGUUCUAACCAGCCAGGUGGAGAGUCCUCCUUGACUGUAUGGGACAUUUAGUGGAAACCUCAGGAGGGUGGCAUCUUAGUAACAGGGCUAAAUUUGCCAUAGUGUAAAGAUUUAUACAAAAAAAGGAAGGAAAAAAUUAAAGCUACACACUUGAAAUUAAAAAUUAUGUUUGACAUCCACUGAAAAUUACAAAACAUGCAAGAAAGCAGAAAAAUGUAGACUUGUAACCAGGAGAAAAAUCAGUCAACAGAGGCAGAUGCAGAGAUAGCAGAGAGGAAAGACUUAAGUGAGUGACUUUAAAAAUCAUUUGUAAAAAUAAGCCCAAGGAUUUAAAGAAAAUUAAACAUAAUGAAAAAAUCAAUAGAAAAUGUUUUAACAAGAACCAAACAGAACUUCUAGAGCUGAAAAACAUAUCUAGAAUGAAAAAUAUCCACUAUAGGUGUAACAUCCAAUGAGAACUUCAGAAGAAAAGAUCAGUAAAUUUGAACACAGCAAUAGAAACUAUGAUAGUAGAAGCACAGAGAGAAAAGGAGAUUGAAAAUGAGCCCAACAUUGGUGAACUGUGGGCAGAAAUAUAUUGGCAAAUUUUAACAAAUACCUUUAUGGAGAAAAAAGCCUCAAUCCAUAGCAUUGGCCAAUUUUCAUGAUGUAAAUAUUCCCACUCUGGCUGAUUUCAAGGUGCCAAUGUGACAUCAAUGAAUACAAAAUUUUCCAAAUUUGACUAAUUAUAAACUGACGUAUCCAAUAAGCUCAAAAAACCUAAAUAAAAGACAUAGUAGAAAAAGAUAAUCUUAAAAAGCCAAAUUUUAAAAAGUACACAUAUAUACAGAGGACUAAAGAUAAAACCAAGAGCAGAUAUAUCAUAGGAAGCAAUUAAGGGCAGAAUCACCUCUUUAAACCACUAGUUGGGGUGGGGAGUGAGAGGAGGGAGUAUGAACCUCAAAUUCCAUAUCCAUUGGGAAUGUUCUUCAAAACCAAGGAAUUAUACUUUCUUCAUCAGAAAGCUAGAAAAAAUGAGAAUAUUAACACCAAAGUAAGUAGAAAGAAGCAAAAAGUAAAGAUAGACUUUUAAUAAAACAAGGGUCAGCAAAUCACAACUUUUCAGGCAAAAAUAUGGCUUCACACUGUUUUUGUGAAUAUUUGCAUUUGAAAAUAGUCCCACUCAUUCAUUUACUUAUUGUUGUCUAGUGCUGCCUUACAAAUCAUAUGGCCAGCAAACCUAAAAUAUGUAUUAGUUAUUUACAGAAAAAUUCGCUACCCCUAGAAACAGACAACAGAGAUAAAUCAAUACAACUAAAAGGAUUCUUCAAAAAAUCAAUCUCGAUAAAUCUAUUGCUAAACUGAUCAGAAAAAAAAUAGAAAUUUCCAAUAUUAGGGAUGAAAGAAAAGACAGUGCUACCAGUCCUACAAACAUUAAAUGGGUAAUAACAGUACAAACAAAUUUAUGCCAUUAAAUUUGAUAACUUAGAAUCAAUGAAAAAAGUGUACAACAAAAAUUGUUGCUAGAAAAUCUGAAUAGCUCUAUAUGUAUUAAAGAAAUUGAAUUCAUAAUUUCCUUCUUACAGCAAAACUCCCAGGCCCAAAUGUCUUCACUGGUGAAUUUUAUCAAACAUUUAAAAAAGCAAUAGUAAUUGUAAUAAAACAUAACCUCUCUCAGAAUAUAAAAAGAACCCUUUCCAACUCAAUUUUUGAAGCCAGCAUCAUGCUGAUACCAAAACCAGACAAAUACAGAAAACUUUACACCAAUAUUCUUCAUGAAUCUAGAUGCAAAAAUCUUUAACAAGAUAUUAACAAAUAGAAUCCAUCUAUGUAUAAAAAGGACAAUAUAUUACAAUCAGGUGGAACAUUUCUUAGAAGUGCCAGGUUGUCUUAAUAUUUGAAAAACCAAGGCAACUCCUCACAUUAAUAGGAGGGGAAAAUGUUUUUUUCUCCCUUAGGACUAGAAGAAAAAGUGCACUUGACAAAAUUUAGCCACAUUUAUUACAAAAACUUUCAUCAAAGCAGGAAUAAAAAGAAACUCUCAAGCUUAUAGAGGGCACUUUUAAAAAUGUGCAGCUAACAUCAUACCUAAUGGCAAAAGACUGAACUUAUUUUCUCUAAGAACAGGAGCUAAGAACAGGAACAGAGCUGAUGCUGGUACAAUUAUAUAUCUGUAUGGAAAAAAAAAAAAACUUUAGUAUUUCCAACAUAUGAUACACAAAAGUUAACAUGAAAAAGAUCAUGGAUGAAAAUGCAAAAAGUAAAACUAUAAAACUUCUAGGAAAAAUGUAGGAGAAAAUUUUUGUGAUCUCAAUGUAGGCAAACAUUUUUGAGGUAAUAAAUCUAUAAUUUUUUUUUUUUUUUUUUGAGACGGAGUCUCACUCAGUCACCCAGGCUGAAGUGCAGUGGCGCGAUCUCGGCUCACUGCAAGCUCCACCUCUCGGGUUCACCCCAUUCUCCUGCCUCAGCCUCCCAGGGAGCUGGGACUACAGGCGCCCGCUACCACGCACGGCUAACUUUUUGUAUUUUUUUUAGUAGAGACAGGGUUUCACCGUGCUAGCCAGGAUGGUCUCAAUCUCCUGACCUCAUGAUCCGCCCGCUUCAGCCUCCCAAAGUGCUGGGAUUAUAGGCGUGAGCCACUGCGCCCGGCCCACAAAUCUGUAACUUUAAAAAAUGAUAAAUUAGACUAUCAAAAUUUAAAAUGUUUGCUCCCCAAAGGAUACUAUUAAUAAUAUAAAAAGGCAGGUCACAAACUAGGAAAAAAAUAACGAUAUAUAUAUGUGACAAGAUACUUUUAUAGAGCAUCAUAUAUAAAGAAAUCUUAUGAUUCAAUAAUUAGAAGAUAAAUAACCCAAUUUUAUAAAGUGAGAGAAGCAAAUGAAUUAAACAGACUUUAACCAAAGAAUAUAUACAAAUAGCCAAUAGCCACAUGCAAAGAUGCUCAGCAUUAUUAGUUAGCAGGAAAAUGCAAAUUAAACUCAUCAUGAGUCACCUCCACACACCCAUUAGAAUCAAUGUUCAAAAGGAUGAUCAUACCAGAUAUUGACAAGGACAUGGCUCAGCCAGAGCUCUCACUGAUUGCCGUGGGAAUAGAAAAUGGUGUAACUGGCCAGGCGCGGUGGCUCACACCUGUAAUCCCAGCACUUUCGGAGGCCGAGGCAGGUGGAUCACUUGAGGUCAGGAGUUCAAGAUGAGCCUGGCUAACAUGAUGAAACCCUGUCUCUACCAAAAAUACAAAAAUUAGCCAGGUGUGGUGGCAGUCACCUGCAAUCCCAGCUACUCGGAAGGCUGAGGCAGGAGAAUUGCUUGAACCUGGGAGGUGGAGGUUGCAGUGAGGUGAGAUCGUGCCACUGCACUCCAGCCUGGGCAACAGAGCAAGACUCCGUCUCAAAAAAAAAAAAAAGAAAAAAAGAAAAAAGAAAAUGGUAUAACUAUUCUAGGAAAUACUUUGGCUGUUUUUUUAUAGUUAAAUAUCUACUUACUCUACCAGUAAUUUGCUUCUAGGUAUUUACCAAGAGAAAUGAGAACAUUUGUACACAUUUGUUACACACAUUUGCUCAUAGCAAUCUUAAUAGUCAAAAACUGGAAGCAAGCCAGGUGCCCAUCAACAGGAGACUGGGUCAAUAAAUUGGGGUAUAUUCAUACAAGAGAAUAGUACUGAGAAGGAAAAAUGAAUAAGAUACUGUUAGAUUUAACAAAAUGAAUAGAUCUCAAAAGUGUUAUGUUAAAUGGAAAAAGCAAGUAUUUACACAGACACAAAAGAGUACAUGCUAUAUAAUUCCUUUUAGAUGAAAUUCUUAAAAGUCAGAACGGACAUAAAGCAGAUCAGUGGUUGCCUGGACAAGAGCUGGGGUGAGCUUGCCUGUAAAUAGGUACAAGGGUACUUUGGGAGGUGAUGGAAAUCUACAUGUUGUGUUGAGGUUGACUGGGUGUAUACAUUCGCCAAAACCCCUUGAACUGAUAUAAAGGUGCAGUUUAUUGAAUAUAAACUACACCUCCAUGCAGUUUUUUAAGAAGAGUUUAUGUGUAUUUUCUCCUGUUUGAGCUUUGAAAGAACAUUCCAAAGCUCCUAAAUGCUUUGGAAUCCCAAAGCUCCAAAAAUGUUUUCUAUUAGAAAACAUUUAGAAGUGCUCAAAGUAGCAAAAGAUUUGCCUAGUUUUAUCGGAAGUAUGGAGAAAAGACACAAGAUGGCGGUGUUACUCAGAGAAAGCAAAAGUGUAUGGCGUCUUUCUCAAUAAAGUCUCAUUUCACCUGGCAGUUCUUCACGUCAUUGACACGAUUGUCCUCAGUACUUUCUUCUCCAGGUGCUUAUGGGAGUCUUCUCUAAUAUACUUAAUUACUGUCUACACUCAAUAACUACGUCACGGAUCCUUUAAACAUCUCAAGAGCUUUUGUUUUUCUGUUGUUGUUGCAAAUAAAAGUGAAAAAUGUAAAUAGUUUGCAAUCCAGUAAUCUAUUUCGUUAUUAGGGAGACUCAUGUCUACUGCGGUUUGUUACUCCAUAAUGGAAGCCCCUGAGAAGUCGCCUUACCUCUGGGAAGAGCGCUUUGCUUCCCAGAGAAUCUGAUUCGCAUUUCAGGCAGUCAGCCACUGGAGGGCAGUGCAGAAGCGUGAAUGCCCUCACCUGCUCGGAGGCGGGAAACCCUGCAGCAACUGCGUCUUCUAAGGGAGCCUAGGACCAGGUUAUUAGCAGAGGGGAAAAGAAAAUGAAUCCAUUCUGGAAACCAUCCGUUUGAUUCAGAAUGUUUUGUGUAAGACAGUAUUUCUUGGGCCAGGCACAGUGGCUCACGCCUGUAAUCCCAGCACUUUGGGAGGCCCAGGCGAGCAGAUCACUUGAGGUGAGGAGUUCAAGACCAGCCUUGCCAACGUGGUGAAACCCCUUCUCUACUAAAAAUACAAAAAUUAGCUGGGUGUGGUGGCAUGUGCCUGUAAUCCCAGCUACCCAGGAAGCUGAGGUAAGAGAAUCGCUGGAACCCGGGAGGUGGAGGCUGCAGUGAGCCGAGAUCAUGCCACUGCACUCCAGCCUGGGCGACAGAGCAAGACUGUCUUUAAAAAAAAAAAAAAAAAAAAAUUAUUUCUUGGUAAUUACAAAGUUGUGUCCAUCAGACGAACUCUAGAACUCUACAGAUAACUGUGGACUCUAGCCUCCAUGUACAGAGCAGCUAAGUGCAGACUGGAGAGAGGGCAGGCAGGGGCCGGCCGAGGGCGGGGUCCUACAGGAGGAGGAGGUGCCGGUGAACCUCCCAUUUCCACGACUUGUACUCUUGGGGCAGCCCCUGGUCUGUGCCACGUGGAUGGUGAAAGCUCACAUGGAGAACAUCCCACUGCCUUGAAGAACCAGAGGACAAAGUUUAGGACAACCGCAGUCACUGGCUGGGGGGCGGUGUGGGGCAGGGAUCGGGGACUGACAAACAGAAGAGCCGGGAGACAGGGAACCUCAGACCAUGAGUAAAGGCUAACUUCCUAGCUGGGCCAUGCAUGGACCUGACAAGCUUCCCUCGCUAAGGCCCAACCCUGCAGCCCUGAUGGCCCUGCUGCCCCACCCAGGUUCCACGCACUGUGGGGAGAUAAGCGGAAGCUGGAAGAGGGAAACCCUGGGCUUACAGCCUGGUUCUGCUCCCAACCACUACUGCUAAUGUCUUGAGCUUGUUACCAAAGCUCCCUGAGCUUUAGUUUGUUUUCCAGAGAAAAGAUGAAACCAGACCUCUCUCCUAGGGCUGCUUUUGAGGACUACCAGGGAUAAUGUGUGCAAAGCGCCUGACACAGAGGGCUUCACUCUGUCAUUAAUUUGCUUCCCACCUCUUGUUUGUGGUUUCCCUGGAAUCUUGUGACUAACUCCUGUUGCAGGAAGUCAGGGACCCCAAACGGAGGGACCGGCUGAAGCCAUGGCAGAAGAACGUGGAUUGUGAAGAUUUCAUGGACACUUAUCACUUCCCCAGUCAAUACCCUUGUGCUUGCCUAUGCCUGUCUUUACUUUAAUCUCUUAAUCCUGUCAGCCAAGGAGGAUGUAUUUCGCUUCAGGACCAUGUGAUAAUUGCGUUAACUGCACAAAUUGUACAGCAUGUGUGUUUGAGCAAUAUGAAAUCUGAGCACCUUGAAAAAAGAGCAGGAUAACAGCAAUUGUUCAGGGAAUAAGAGAGAUAACCUUAAACUCUUGACCGCCGGUGAGCUGGGCAGAACAGAACCAUAUUUCUCUUCUUCCAAAAGCAAAUGGGAGAAAUAUCUCUGAAUUCUUUUUCUCAGCAUGGAACGUCCCUGAGAAAGAGAAUGUGCGCCUGGAGGUAUAGGCUUAUAAACAGCCCCCCCGCCAGGUGCACCUGUCUCUUAUGGUCGAGGCUGCAGAGAUGAAAUAUACUCCAGUCUCCCAUAGUGCUCCCAGGCUUAUUAGGAAGAGGAAAUUCCCACCUAAUAAAUUUUGAUCAGACCAGUUGAUCACAAAACCCUGUCUCCUGAUAAGAUGUUAUCAAUGACAAUGGUGCCUGAAACUUCAUUAGCAAUUUUAAUUUCGCCUGGGUGCUGUGGUCCUGUGAUCUCGCCCUGCCUCCACUUGCCCUGUGAUAUUCUAUUACCCUGUUAAGUCCGUGAUGUCUGUCACCCAUACCUAUUCACACACUCCCUCCCCUUUUGAAAAUCCCUAAUAAAAACUUGCUGGUUUUUGUGGCUUGUGGGGCAUCAUGGAUCCUACCAACGUGUGAUGUCUCCCCAGGACGCCCAGCUUUAAAAUUUCUCUCUUUUGUACUCUGUCCCUUUAUUUCUCAAGCCGGCCGACGCUUAGGAAAAAUAGAAAAGAACCCACGUGAUUAUCAGGGCAGGUCCCCCGAUAAACUCCGUUUCUGAGAUCAGUUCUAGUGGCAACCCUCCAAGUCAGCUAGGCCUCAGUUCCUGAUCUUACCCGUAAACGCAGUGAGUUUGCUUCUCACAAGCUUUGGUUAUCUUGUCUGUCUCCCUUUUUGAAAUCCAGGUUUGAAGACUAUUCGGCCAUGCUUUUGCAGUGAGCACCAGCUUGCUAGAGCCCCUGGGGGGCCGCAGCCAGCAAGCUGGAGAGUUACCAAUGUUCCAAGAAUGUUUCAGAACCACUUGCUUUGUCAAAGCUUGGCCUUGUGGACUUCCCGUUUUACAUGAGAUUCUCUAGUCUUUGCCCAUCUUCAUUUCCUAUUGCCUCCUAUAUAUUUUUUUCUUUUUCUUUCUUUCUUUCUUUCUUUUUUUUUUUGUCAGUGGCAACUUUUACAUGAUUUUCUGUGAUCAUGCACACAGGGACUAAAAGCACUCACUCUCUCUGCAUCUGGGACCCGUCCUCUCCUCUACCUCUCACUGCAGUCAAUGGUGUUUGCUCCUCUGCCCUUUGCUCUUGCUGGGCCAUGGUGACAGCUUCCUGGCUAGGUUCUCUGCCUUCAUUCAUGGCCCUGUGUGCCAUUUUCCCCGACAUCCAAGACUUAAACUUUUAAAUAUGGUCAUCACAUCAUGUUAACUCUUCACUUUCACUUCUCGCGUAGCUGCUUGCUGUAGCUGGAGUCAAAUCUACCCUCCAAAGACCCCCGGCUCCCUCUCUUCCCCUGACUGGCUGUGCUCUGGCUCUUUCCGACCACACGUGUGUCAAGCUCCUACUAUCAUCCAGGCCUCCCCACGUGCUUGUCCUGUGCUCUAAUCGUCUUUCUACACCCAGCUGCUGCCUUUUAUCAUUCCUGCUUUGGUUCUAUCACCGUCUCCUCAAAGAGGUCUUCCCGGCUGUCCCAACUGAAGUAGUCCUCACUUAGCCUCAGCCCCUGUGUAAGCCAUGGCAACGUUUCAUUUCCUUCAUCACACUUAGCACUGUUGAAAAUUGUCUUUAUUUAUUUGUUCCAGCACCACAAAGUUCAGGUGUAAAAUAGAGUUUACUGGAGGAAAACAAGCCAAGAAGUAGUGGGUUGCACGGUCUCCUUAAGUCGUGUUACUCCUUAGCUCUUAGACAGGAUAUACACAGUCUGGUGCAUCAGGGCCAAGGCACCAGCAAGGAAGGACAAUGUCCCCAUGAUGCUCUGUAUAUUUAUGGUGUGUAUUUAAGAGAAGGGAGCAGGGGAUAUCUGUGGGACCACACACGUUCUCUAGUUGAGAAAGUGGCCUUGUUGGAAGGGAAGGUCCUCCAGAACCUGGCAACCAGACACUGACCCGUCCUCCUAUUAGGCUCGGGUAGAGCGCCUACCAAGUACUCUGCUGAGCUAUUAUAUAAAGGCAGGGAGGAAGUGAGUCCCUGGGGCCAUGCUCUUCUGCCUCUCCUGAGUAAAAUAUAAGCCCCAUUAAGAAACAGAGCUUAUCUUGUUUACCACUACAAUAAUACCAGGCACGUAGAAAGGCAAUCAAAAAAUAUUUAUUGAGUGAAUGGGAGAAUAGCAGAAUGAGUAAUAAUAAAAUCAUGAUUCAAAAGUAACUGAAAUUCAGAGAGAAAGACCAACUUUACUAGAAAUGGUAUCUUGGUAGUGACCUGGAGCUGAUGGGGAGGGGGUGUCUAAUUUACUGCAGCAUUGUAACUGCGCAUAGAAGGCACAGCAGGAGGGCAGCCACUGAUGUGGCUCCAACUCUUAGAGGUUCCUUUCCUGGUUUUAAAUACAUGCCAUGGCUGGGCACGGUGACUCAUGCCUGUAAUCCCAGCACUUUGGGAAGCCGAGGCAGGUGGAUCACGAGGUCAGGAGAUCAACACCAGCCCGGCUAACACAAUGAAACCCUGUUUCUACUAAAAAUACAAAAAAAAAAAAAAAAGCCGGGUGUGCCUGUAGUCCCAGUUGCGUGGGAGGCUGAGGCAGGAGAAUGGUGUGAACCCAAGAGGCGGAUCUUGCAGUGAGCCGAGACCACACCACUGCACUCCAGCCUGGGCGACAGAGCAAGACUCCAUCUCACGAAAAAAAAAAAAAAAAAAAAAAAAAAAGGACACGCAUGUUAGUCCUGCACUGCCCACAGCUUCAUUUACGGAAUUACCACUGUCAAGUUGACAUGUGCUGUCUCUUAAAUUACUCUUCGGUAUGAGAAGCAAAGUUGCAUGUUUAUUUUUGUCAGAGAAAGAGACUGGGAUUCUUUGGAAGACAUAGGCCAAUUGCCCUUCAUACCAAGAAAAAUCUUUCUCAUUCUGACUGUUUUGUUUGUCUCAAACCAGCAUCACAGACUGCCCUGGAUGGGUUUUGGCAACAAGAGUGAUAAUGAAGUCAUUUCCAUGGUGAUAAGGUCAACGUUCUUAAUGCUUACUGCAUCACAAUCAAUUUUUGAAAUGUUUCUAAAUUAGAAAAGUGAAAAAACUUGUUAAAUGAAGGAAAAGUGUACGAUGAGCUAAAUGCUGAGGAGAAUGACUAAUACUCUGCAUGAAAUACUCAUCAAGCACUUGAUCACAUGCACCUCUGGAGGGUUUCUUAUUAGAAGACACUUCCCUGGAGAUGAAGUCAUUCUGGUUGCCCCCAUUUCACAAAUACCAACCUUGGAAUAGAUAUUAUUGACUUGUAAAAUGGACAAAAUUUGUUUUCAAAAUGUCAAUAAAAACUAUUAAGUAAGCAAAACAAAUCUUUAGCAGUCUCUAUCAUGGCCCAUUAGUGGAAUUACUUUUCUCCACCAAUGUAAUAAUCUGUGUUUCAGGUCUCUUAGGAACUGAAAAAAUUACAUAUAAUGGAGAAAUUAUACCUAUUAGGUCACUAUGUGUUUCUACAAGUCAAGUAGUCUGUUGCGGUAGCUUUAAAGCAAUUUUCUCAAGCUAAUGAUUAGUUUAGCACGGUCUUAUCCUCUCUGACAUUUUACACUCCUGACGACUUUUUUCUUAGAAUUCUCCUUAGCGCCAUGUUUCCCCAUUUUGAUGCUGCUCUUUUCCUGCUCCCUGUUGGGGCUUUUAAGUGAUGUUUCUUUCUUUGAUCACCUCCUGAACAUCAAUGAUAGUCCCCAUUUAAUCCAUUCUCCUCUUAUACUUGACACUUUUUUUUUAACCUCAUCUGAUCACAUAGAUUCAAAUUUCACUUAAAUAUAGGCUUUCAGUCAAACUUCUCAAUAACGUUUGUAGCCAUAUCUAAAACUGGACUCAUCUCCACUCAACAGUCCCCCAGGUUCCUCACACUCAACUCACCCACAGCUCCUCCGUCCCCACCACCAACUCCAGGUGCUUCCUUGAUGUCCACAUUGGGAUGGAUGUGAUUCACUUUCCAAUGCUAAGUGUGGGAACCUUUCUGCAUCCCACCCUUUCACUCACCACCGUUCUCAGAAUCCAGCCAUCAACCCAGCAGCCUGCAAUUCCUUAGGAUCUUUUCUUUUUUCCUUCCUAUAUAUCUUAUUCCAACCGGAACCACUGUAAGGCUCAUGCCUGGUCUCCCUAAGCUCAGAAGGCACUCAGCUUCCAGCUGGGAGGAGCGGGCCUCAGUCACCAAGUCUCCUCAAGCCUCUUUGACGAGAUGAGGUGGGACCUCUUCAAUAUUAAUAUGGCUCUACAUUCAUUAUACUUAAAUUACAGAGAGUUUAUCAGGAAGAAAUACAAUUUAUGCUAGUAAAUAUUUCUUCUAUAUAAAAAAUGUGAAAGAAUUUGGGAAUAAAAACCAUGGAAGUGAAAGAUAUGAAUCCUGACCUUCAGAAGGAGUGGGAGUGGGUGAGAAACCAAGAUUGCAGUGACCUGGGUCUGGAUUUUAGCUCCUCCAUUUGUUUGACUGGGGCAAGAUAUUUUAGUUUUGGUUUCUUUGUAAAAUGAAGAGGAACACUUCAGUCAAAGGUACGUUUUGACAUUUAAAUUAUAUUGCAUAUGAAGCAUACAUCCCCAAAACUUGGACAUGGUAGAUUCUCAUCAAAUCAUAAUUAUUAUAACUUAGAAGCACAAGACUUUCAUAAUUGAAAAGUAAAAUAUCAGCAAUAGUUUAAAAUAACAGUUUAAGUAAACAAUAAUAGAAACGCCAUGAGGAAUCCACCCUGUCUGCCAAGGAACAGUGCGGACAGCCAUUCCUCAAGGAGCCCAGAUUGUCUGGAGCGGAAAGAAAUUACAGACAGGAAACCCCUACCUAGACACAGCAGCACCACACACCAAAUGUUCUCUGACUCCUCAGCUCCUGAAAAAGAAGAUUUUGCUACACAAAGCAAAAAAAAAAAAAAGAGAAAGUUUUAUAGAUUUUUAUGGUCUUUAAAUAAGAUUAGGGCCAGGCCCGGUGGCUCACGCCUAUAAUUCCAGCACUUUGGGAGGCUGAGGCAGGCGAAUCACAAGGUCAGGAGUUCGAGACCAGCCUGACCAACAUGGUGAAACCCCAUCUCUACUAAAAAUACAAAAAAUUAGCUGGGCGUUGUGGUGCAUGCCUGUAAUCCCAGCUGCUCAGGAAGCUGAGGCAGGAGAAUCGCUUGAACCCGGGAGGCCAAAGUUGCAGUGAGCUGAGAUUAUACCACUGCACUCCAGACUGGGUGACAGAGCGAGACUCCGUCUCAGGGAAAAAAAAAAAAAAAUUGAAAAGUUAAAAGAUAAGAUUACUCUAAGACUCACCUCUCACCUGUACCCAGGGACUUCUAGGUUUGAAAGCAUUUCCACCACUACUGAUGAUCUAAGGGAGACACUGGGGAAAGUAUAGCUGCAUAAUCCUUCCCUGUGGGUGUCACUCCCUAACCUCCAGGCUCUCCUGGGUGUGGACUGGUUGGGGGAGAUGAUUGGAAACUGCCAUUUGUGUCUACUGCGCACAAUGAUAAGAGAUAAACUUGGCUGGGGCUAUUAGAGGUCGUUUAUUUAGUUCAACAUUUCGUAUACUAAAGAGGAAACCCAAGUUCAGACCGGCUGAGUUGGAAAAGUCACCUAGCUACUGGAAGCAGAGCCAGGCCUAGAUCUCCUAGUCCAAAACUUCUUUUCUCCCACACCACAGCUGCUGCUUUACAUUACUGGGGUUUUGGAAUUUUACUCAUUCAAAUGCAAAUGUUUUGUGUGCUUCUUUAAUGGGACAUUUUUUGUCUUACUUUACUAAGUAAAGUACAGAGUGAAUGAGAGUGGAUUGGAGGUGUUGAAAUCGUCAACCUCUUUUAAAGCAUCGUUAUUUUUCCUUUGUUUCUCUUUAUGAUGUGAAACACUUACUUCUUUUUCUUCCCAGCUUGAAUUGGAGACAGCAGCACAGAUAACUUGACUUUCUUGUUCUAGUGGAUGAUGCAAGUAGUGAGGAUGCGAUUAACGAAAUCAAUGGCUCAUGGGAAAGCCUUCCCAUUUCCAAUCUCACCCCUACUUUAGGAUAUGGUCCAGUGAAUCCGUUGCUAUGAAACAGUGCUGCAGCUGGGCUCAGUGGGGGUCUGGGUGGUCUCACAAAAGCUAGCAAUAGUUGUAACUUGGAGAAAUUAGAAGUGUUACGGGCCGUCCAAUAUCACAUCACUGGGAUAAGUCAUGAUCGUGUGACUUCAUAAAGUUUGCCAUUGACCCAUUCAUCAAUUGGUUAUUGAAGUCAUACUAUAUUCCAG